CUCACUCUUUCCAUUAGCUCCCUCUCUUUCGUUUCAUUUCACGAAAACUCUCGGUCUCGCUCUCUUUGAUUGCUAUAUCUUUCUGUUUCUCUCCAUCGAUCUCUCUCUUGCUCAAUCAACAACAACCUUCGGUCUCCCUAUGUUCUCAUCGUUCUCCAUGAUUCAAACAGUAAAAACCAGAAACAUUCUCAUGUCAUCAAAACCCUAGAGUUUCAAAAUUAGAUUAAAUAGCAAUGGAGUGCAAGUUCAAUCGAAUAUCAUGGGGGCUAUUACCGAUCAAGUCUCGAGGAACACAGUGGUAUUUUAAAAAAAAAAAGCGAAGAAGGAGAUCUUACACGGUCGGAGCUUGUCCGACGAGACUUCCUUUUUCGGCGGUGGUUCAGUAACUCGGGUCUGGUUCAUUGCAGGUGAGGUGAUGAAGCAGCUGAGUUCAAUGGCUCAUUGAUUCAUUUAAUUGAUGCUGCAGCUUUUUCAAAUGGAAUACGAUACUGCAAAGAUCAAGCGUUUUUGUUUGAUCUAGACUCAAACGACCGAAGGUCUAGAAUUCGAUCCGAGCCAAGUGGGUGCAUAUAAGGCGGCAAAACCAUUCUAGUGUGCCUAUGUUUUUUGUUCACAAGACACAAACAUGAGACUGUGCUUAAGAAAAACCAUGCUCAUUGCCAAUUGGAUGCACAUAAGUUAUAAACUUUGAACACACCAAGAAUUGGCCUAUGGUUGUUGUGUUACAUUUCGUGAUUUCAAAAUACUAACCAUUCCAUGUGUUUAUUUGCAUAUUCAAAAUGUUAUGACCAUAUUAAUGCUCUCAUUCAUUUACCAGCAUGACAGAUGAUCGGGUCCUUAAAGCACGUGGUCAUGGGUUCGACCCCGGACUAAUGCAUAUGGAAGAACACUGUUGUGAGAGGUCAGCCCCUUAAAUAAUCUCCAUACUUCAAACGACGAGUCUUUAGGUCACUCGCUCAUUCAGUUUCGAGGAGACUGUAGAUAGCAAGAAACAAAAAUAGAAUUAAAAAGCAUAUAUGUCUAAUUGGUUUUCUGAAGUUACAAAUAAAAUGAAACAAAAUAUGUCAGAGUAAGAAAAACUACCAUAAUGACAGAAUUGGUAAUUAGAAGUAGUGAAAUUGUGAUGAUUGGUUAUUACUUUGAUUUCAGUGCAUUAUGAUGUGUGUUAUGUACAUAGAUAAGUAAAAGAUUGAUGAAUGAUCUAAGCUUUGAGUCCAAUUAUUGAUAAGUGAUUUACGGGCUGAUGAUGAUAUGAUAAGUGAUGAUGAUAUGAUUAGUUUAUUAUCUUUAGGGUCAUCUUUGUUAGGGUCUUAUGUGAGAAAGGGGGCUGGCAUUUUAUUUGAGCACUUAGCAUCCACACCUGCUUGGAUAUGAUACCUAAUUUUCCAAAGUUCACUUCUUAAAUAUAUGUAAUUUAGACUUCUCUUCUAGCACUUUACGUAGUAAUUUCUUGAUUAUCUUUAUCGAGUCUUUUGCUCAUGGGCUUUUUCACAUUUGGUUGAUUGAUAUUGGUAAUGAUUACUUUGAUAGCAGGAUGUCAAUAGUAGCAAACCUUCUCAUCAAAAUAUGGUGGAAGCAAUUGAUUCUCUUUAUGCUACUUGUUUCAAUUGAUAUUAUGAUUUAGGCUAUAUAUCUUCAUUUUGUUUAUUUUUCUAUGAUAUUAUUAUUCAGUUUGUUUAAUCCACCAAGAUUCCUUUUCCAAAUCUAUAGGAAAGAUGAAUUGUGAAUUCCAAUUCCAACCCACACUUCAACUAGGUUACUCAGUGAGAAUAAUAAAAACUAAGAAAUUUUCAAGGUAAAUGGUUAUAUUAUAUUUUUUUAAUCUACUGUCCAACCCACAUGCCAUUAACCAUACACAGGAUUAUAGGAUAUUUUAUUAGUAGUAGUAUUAUAAUGUUUACAGGGACUGAUAUUCUAUCAUUUUUGUUUUGCUCACAUACAUUUAUUCUACUCUAUGAAUUUAAUGUGUUUAAUUGUGUGUCGCUUCUCACAAUAUGCAUAGUUUCAUAACAUGUCUCUCACAUAAGACAUGAAGUAGACCCUGACCAAUUUCACGAUGAGCUGAAAAUUAAUUUUAAUUUAAAGAAUGGUGACUAAAAUAGUUGAGCUAUAACCCUUAGGUCAAGAGAGUAAGUCAACUCCUCAUAAAGGUAAUCCUUGACACCGCAUUUCUUCUAAAAAAAUCUAAAAGUUUCGCAAAGAUAAAGUAAAUACUUGCAUUGACUUUAAGAAAUUAUGUUGUACUAUUUCUUGAAGGAAUAUGGUUUUAUUAUAAGUUGAUAAUGCAUUAAUUGUUAUAGAAAUGACUGGAGGGAACAUGAAAAAGAGAUGUUGAGUUUUAUAAAUAGCUUAAUGAAGAUUACUCCAAUAGCUAACUCUGGAAAUUAUCUGCUAUAUUUCUUUAAAGAAUAUCUGCCCUGUUUCUUUGAAAAGUAAAUAUGAUAUCUCUAUUUAAAAUCAAGUGUGUAAUUUUUGUUGUAUUACUUAGGGGAAUGUGGGACAAUUUGUUAUGGAGACUAUGAAGGCUAAUUAUAGAGUUAAUUUAGGCAUGCUCAACAUUCAUUUCAUUUUGCAAUGUAUUUAUUUUAUAUAAGUUUAUGUCGCUCCUUUGUGGUCUUUGACAUAUAUACUAGAUUUAGUGCUUAACUUUGGUGAAACCUUUGCUAUAAUAUUGCUAUUUGACAACAAUACUAUUGCCCUCAUGUUCAUAUUCUUUAUUCAUGAUGGGAGCUUUUAAGUUAUCAUGCUUUUUUACUUUUAGAAUAUUUUAUAUUUGUUUUGAUUAACUAUUAGUAUUUAAUAAUUAUUGGUUGAGUGUUGUUUUGAAAGCCAAUAAUAUUGAGUAGUUAGUGGACAUUUAUAAAUGUUUCUUGUUACACCUCUCACUUAUGUAGAAGUGUGGUUUACUCAAUUUUUAAACUAAUAUAUAUUGAGCUCAUACAUCAAAUUAAUAUUCCAUAGACAAAGAAGCCUAUGAAAAAGAAAGUUCUUUCUGUGAAGAAUGGUGCAGGUGGUACAUGCUGAAUUCAGGUACAUGUUCCAUUAAACUCAAAUUUUGAUCUUUUCUGGAAAGUUAUUAAAGGUUCGUAAUUUCAUAUGCUUCGGGAAUUUCUCAUUUAUUCCAUUGUUGUUCAUGUUCUUGCCUUUCGUUGCAUUUACACUUAGUUAUGUGUCUGAAAUGAUUUAAUUAUUUAUACUUUACAUUGUUAGCAUAGAUGCUAUAUAUAUCUAAUAUGAAACUAUUACUCUUUUAUGUGAUAAGUAAACUAAGACUAUUCUUUUUUACUUAAAAAUAUAACUUUCAUAAGAAUUUAUUAUGACUUUAAAAAUAUAAAUGUACUACAUGGAUUAUGGCUCAGUGGUCAAGAACAAUAUCCAUAAUAUACAUGAUUAUUCUUCUAUCUCUACUUAAUUUUGAAAUGUGUACCUCAAAACUCCACUCAUGCUUUUGUUCUUAUUUUAUAUUAACCAUUUUUAGUUGAAAUUAUAUGUAGAGACCUCUUUUAUAUUACCCAUUUAGAGUUGAACAUCUAUGUAGAGACUUAUUUUAUAUUAACCAAUUUGAGUUGAACAUUUAUGCAGGGACCUCUCUUAUAACAAUCUAAGUGGUUUACUCUCAAUAACUAUCAUAGUUUAAGCCUUUAAGAGACCUCUACUAAGUUCAACUUAUGUCAUAUUAUAUUGGUAUAUGAGUUUGUAGGACUAAUAGAACUCAAUUUUGCUAGUAGCCAUGGAAUGAACAUGUCCUAGUUGUAAAGUACUUUUUUAGAUCUUGUUGUGAUAUUAAGUGGAUUUGAUUUAAAAUAUUUGCUAUUGAUGGAUUAUAAUAUAUAUGCAAUGAGUAACUUAAUGUGUUAUUAGGUAUUGAAUUGAAUGUAGCUUUUUGAUAUUUGCACACCAAAAGAAUGAUUUUGUAUACAAAAAAAAUUAAAAAAUGUACUACAAUAUCAUUUUGUAAAGAGUGCUAUUAAUUAAACAUCCUAUAAUAGCACUUUAGAAAGUGCUAUCAAUCAUGUGCCAUAUAAUAGCGCUUUCUUUGAAAGUGCUAUUAAACAUGUGCCAUAUAUUAGCACUUUGUUUGAAAGUGCUAUCAAACACGUGCCCAAUAAUAGCACUUAGUUUGAAAGUGCUAUCAAAAACAAAUAAAAAUAUGUGCAAAACGUCCACUUCAAUAGCGCUUAAGGAAAAACGCUAUUAAAAAUCAGUACUUUAUUAGCACUUUUAAAGUGCUAUUAAACAAAAAACGUUUACAAUAGCGGUGCGGUUAAUAGCACUUUUAAGUGCUAUCAAAAACCAAAACAAGCGCUAUUAAAUAGCUUAUUUGGCAUCACCAGGUAAAGGACCCAUAAAAGCAUGAGUUUUUUCAGAAAGAAGGAAAGAGAUGAUUACCUGGGAAGCAUAGAUAGCACGAGAUUCUUCCAGGUUUGGCUCUGGAAUAUACUGCUGAUUCGCUACUUGUGUGGGGCGUUGAAGUUUUUGGACAGGUUGAAGAGCAUCUGUAGUUUCCGUUGAUGGGUUUUGGACGGUGGAAGACACCAUGAGUGAGUUGCUUCAAGAAAUAAAAUUGAGACCUAAAAAAGGAUUUUUUUUGCGUUCAGAAAGAUGAAAGAACGAUGAUAUGUGAAGAAGAGAGAAUCCCGAAUGAUAAAACCCUGGUAUUUAAAGGUUUAGUGAAAACUUUUCAAAUCUCUAUUUUGUUUUGAAUAAAGUCCAAUAAGACACGCGUCGGCAGCUGAUUCACUCGUCUGGCGGUCGAACAGUUAUUAGCCUUACUCCUACUAUCUAGGAGCAAUGAUUAUGAGUAAUGCUAAAUGUGGGAGCGCGCGUCUUGAAGAGACGUUUUUGAAAAUGACAAGACGUCUUUGAAAGAAAAUUCAUAAAUGAUUGGGACGUUAGUCAGAUUCUUGGAACUCAAAGAAGUGCGAGGAAAUCGAAAUCUCAUUGUGGCAAGAAACGCCUAUUUCUCUUACUUUUCCGAAACAGGCAUUUAUUGGGGGCAAUUUGUUAGCUGGAGAUUUCGAUUAUUGUAUAUGCUUUUCGAAGAUUUAAGGUUCGAAGAGAAAAUGAAUUUGGAUGGCUAUUUCUGAGAAUGUUAUUUGUGAUGAAGAUUCCUAAGUUCGAAGUUGAGUCGAGAUAGAUGAUCUUCGGGGCUUAAAUGGUUUUUCGAAAUACAAGGUUAUUGAAACUUAAAGUAUUUCGAAGCAUUCUCGCAUAGAAUACGUUGCCACGUAUCGAAUAAGAUUCGGGCGGGAGGUUUUGAAUUUCGAAAUGUUCUGUUUAAACUAACAAGGACAAAUGGUGCCCCAGGGAUUCGAAACACAUGCAUGCGGGCAACGUGGCAUUUUGUUAGUGUAGGACCGUUAGGGUCGAAUUAGUAUAAAUAAGGGUCUUAGUAUCAGGAUCCAGGGUGUUCAUUUUGUACAAAUUACUUACAAAAUCACUCAAGUAUCAAGCGUUAAGAGAAAGAGUUGUCGCUGAGAAAUGUACGUGUAACACCAACACCUUACAUAUGUUUGUAUUUUCAUUAUAGAAUCGAAGUAUUUUACAUUCCUUUACUUUUCUCGUUAAGUCUUUCCAUUCCUGCAAUUUACAUUCCUUUUUACUUUCUUGUCGAAGUUUUACUUACAUUUAUUGUCUAACCAAUUUACUUUUCGUCAUACAUUCAUUUAGUUUAUUUCGCAAAGUUAUUUUUUACAUUUACAACAUAACCUUAUAAAACAAUAAAAAACCAAGAGAACAUGAAUCAAAUAAUUCUGAAAGACAACUUUUCGACACAUGUCCUAGGAUCAAUCUAGUCGAUCCUGCGAGUAACCAAAGUAUAUUUAUAAUUUGGAAGACUAGCGGUUGUUUACUGGAAAUCACCGUAAGCAGCCGCUCAUUGUAUACUUGCUUGAUAUUUGAAAUACUAUCCGGGUUUUUUCGCUUCAAAUCGGCAAGUAUGUUUUUUGGCGCUACUUUGAUUGUCGAUAAGUCCGAAAUAACCUUCUUCUCUUCGCGGGACAACCGACACGCAAUUGGAUGCCCGUAUAGCUUGGUUUCCGAGGCAUGAUUAUGAAGUCCACAAAUGACGCUAAAACGCCACAAAUCAUCAAUCCUACAAGUCACGCGCAACCUAAACGGACACCCACACUUUCUCGAUCCCGUGUCUUCGUAUUUUAAUACCCGGUUUGUUGGUACAUACUUCUCACCUCUCUCGCAAUUCAACACGACAAAAGCUUUCUGUUUACUACUUCCAUUAUCGGACCUUAAUAUGACAAUGUCAAAUCCAAGUUUAGUAGCUUCACUUCGAACCCAAUCAAGUAAAUGUUCACGACUAGCGAAGCUCAUAUCAUUUGUAAAUUAUUGUCGAACAUCCACCGCAACGGUCAUGGUUUUAACAUCGUUAACCGACUCUUUAUCAACGUCAACCUCUUCCAGAACUUCUAAGUCAUCGGCGACAAUGUUGUCCGGAUGCACCAUACCUAACAUAUGCAAAAAUAUACUAAAGUUGUUAAAACUGUUUUUUUAUUUCUGCCAGGGCUUAUUUCAGAAGUACAUUUCCGAAAUUUGUCAGGUGAUUUAUUUCGGAAAUGAACUUCCGAACCAACGCAUAUUUCAGUCAUCUAAAUCAUCAACAAUGUAGUGUAAUAGGAGAUGAUUUGAAUGAUGUUUACCUCAAAUUGUAGCUUUCUAUGCUCCCUUUAGUAUGAUCAACCGUUUGAAAUUUGAUUUUGAGACGAAAAAAUUGAUUGAGUUUUGGAGAGGGUUUGUGAUGAAAAUGAUGAAAUAGUGAAGGAGGGAAAACUGCAUAUAUGGACAUCUUAUUUCGGAAAUACACUUCCGAAAUAAUACCUGAAACGUUUUUUUUUUUUAAUUUUCAGUGAUUUUGGAGAUGCAUCUCCGAAAACACCACAAAAAAGGUGUUUUCGGAUAUGCAUUUCCGAAUUCUGGAAAAAUCUGGAAAAAAAAAAUUAUUUCGGAAAUGCAUUUCCGAAGUAAGGAUAUUUUUGAGUUUUCGCUGAAGAUUCUCCCCAUAAUUUCGGAAAUGCAUUAUCUAGAGGAUACUUGAUGGUCAUAUAGCGGGUGGAUAGCACUCAUUUUAGUACAUUGAAUGCGAGCAUUUUCGAAGAUAUUAGCUUCAUUCAAAUUUAUCUCCAUAGUG
Vicia villosa (hairy vetch) is the source of this 7141-nucleotide long non-coding RNA. RefSeq lists it as uncharacterized. The transcript has 3 exons. The record is from RefSeq and is a predicted model, not a curated record. NCBI's taxonomy places the organism in Eukaryota, Viridiplantae, Streptophyta, Magnoliopsida, Fabales, Fabaceae.